This 433-nucleotide ribosomal RNA is filed under the name uncultured bacterium. Its description in RNAcentral is "partial 16S ribosomal RNA". It matches the Rfam family "Bacterial small subunit ribosomal RNA", at positions 28 to 507 of the family's 1533-position model. The record is from RNAcentral.
AACGAACGCUGGCGGCAGGCCUAACACAUGCAAGUCGAGCGAGCAUUUCGGUGCUAGCGGCGGACGGGUGAGUAACGCGUGGGAACGUGCCCUUUUCUGCGGAAUAGUCCUGGGAAACUGGGGGUAAUAUCGCAAACGUCCUUCUGGGGAAAGAUUUAUCGGAGAAGGAGAGGCCCGAGUUGGAUGAGGAGGUUGGUGGGGUAAUGGCCGAUCAGGGCGUCGAUCGCUAGCUGGGUUGAGAGACUGGGCGGCCACACUGGGGCUGGGACACGGCCCAGACUCCUACGGGAAGCGGCAGUGGGGGAUCUUAGACAAUCGCGGCAACCAUGAUCGAGCCAUGCCGCGUGAGUGAUGAAGGCCUUAGGGUUGUAAAGCUCUUUCAGCUGGGAAGGUAAUGACGGUACCAGCAGAAGAAGCCCCGGCUAACUCCGUG